This 347-nucleotide unclassified non-coding RNA is filed under the name soil metagenome. Its description in RNAcentral is "partial contains 5.8S ribosomal RNA, internal transcribed spacer 2, and large subunit ribosomal RNA". The stretch from base 1 to 120 matches the Rfam family "5.8S ribosomal RNA", at positions 35 to 154 of the family's 154-position model. The record is from RNAcentral.
GAUGAAGAACGCAGCGAAAUGCGAUAAGUAGUGUGAAUUGCAGAAUUCAGUGAAUCAUCGAGUCUUUGAACGCACAUUGCGCCCCCUGGUAUUCCGGGGGGCAUGCCUGUCCGAGCGUCAUUGCUGCCCUCAAGCACGGCUUGUGUGUUGGGCCGUCGUCCCCCUCCUAGGGGACGGGCCCGAAAGGCAGCGGCGGCACCGCGUCCGGUCCUCGAGCGUAUGGGGCUUCGUCACCCGCUCGGUAGGCCCGGCCGGCGCUUGCCGACGACCAUCAAUCUCUUUCUCCAGGUUGACCUCGGAUCAGGUAGGGAUACCCGCUGAACUUAAGCAUAUCAAUAAGCGGAGGA